RNAcentral lists this ribosomal RNA (478 nucleotides) under uncultured bacterium. RNAcentral describes it as "partial 16S ribosomal RNA". It matches the Rfam family "Bacterial small subunit ribosomal RNA", at positions 28 to 523 of the family's 1533-position model. The record is from RNAcentral.
GACGAACGCUGGCGGCGUGCUUAACACAUGCAAGUCGAACGGUAAGGCCCUUCGGGGUACACGAGUGGCGAACGGGUGAGUAACACGUGGGUGAUCUGCCCUGCACUUCGGGAUAAGCCUGGGAAACUGGGCCUAAUACCGGAUAGGACUCCUGGCUCCAUGGUUGGGGGUGGAACGUUUUGGCGGUGUGGGAUGGGCCCGCGGCCGAUCAGCUUGUUGGUGGGGUAAUGGCCUACCAAGGCGACGACGGGUGGCCGGCCUGUGAGGGUGACGGGUCACACGGGGACUGAGAUACGGCCCAGACUCCUACGGGAGGCAGCAGUGGGGAAGAUUGCACAAUGGGGGCAAGCCUGAUGCAGCGACGCCGCGUGAGGGAUGACGGCCUUCGGGUUGUAAACCUCUUUCAGCUAUGACGAGGCGCAAGUGACGGUAGUAGCAGAAGAAGGACCGGCCAACUACGUGCCAGCCGCCGCCGUAA